AACGUAGGAACCGAGCGUUAUCCGAAUUUACUGGGCGUAAAGCGCGUGUAGGCGGUUCGGUAAGUUGGAUGUGAAAUCUCCCGGCUCAACUGGGAGAGGUCGUUCAAUACUGUCGAACUUGAGGGUGGUAGAGGGAGGUGGAAUUCCCGGUGUAGUGGUGAAAUGCGUAGAUAUCGGGAGGAACACCAGUGGCGAAAGCGGCCUCCUGGACCAUUCCUGACGCUCAGACGCGAAAGCUAGGGGAGCAAACGGG
Molecule: ribosomal RNA, 253 nt
Filed under: uncultured Leptolinea sp.
Lineage: Bacteria; Bacillati; Chloroflexota; Anaerolineae; Anaerolineales; Anaerolineaceae
Description: partial 16S ribosomal RNA
Rfam family: Bacterial small subunit ribosomal RNA
Source: RNAcentral